AGGGGGAAGGUGAUCCUAAAAGAAGCUGCUAACUAUCUUUUAAAGCGGUUUAAUUCCGUUUUCCCCUUU
This 69-nucleotide transfer RNA is filed under the name Sclomina pallens. RNAcentral's name for it is "tRNA-Ser". The record is from RNAcentral. Lineage: Eukaryota; Metazoa; Arthropoda; Insecta; Hemiptera; Reduviidae.